This 72-nucleotide transfer RNA is filed under the name Camelus bactrianus (Bactrian camel). It matches the Rfam family "tRNA". From Rfam's summary of the family: Transfer RNA (tRNA) molecules are approximately 80 nucleotides in length. The record is from Rfam by way of RNAcentral. Lineage: Eukaryota; Metazoa; Chordata; Mammalia; Artiodactyla; Camelidae. RNAcentral also lists the same sequence under 2 other names.
GAGGGUAUAGCCUAGUGGUAGAGCAGAUGCCUAACAUGCACAAGGUCCUGGAUUUAAUCCCCAGUACCUCUA